GCUCGGAUGGUGGAACUGGUAGACACGCAGGACUUAAAAUCCUGUGCCCUCAACAGGCGUGCGGGUUCGAUUCCCGCUCCGAGUACAA
This 88-nucleotide transfer RNA is filed under the name Pedobacter sp. RNAcentral's name for it is "tRNA-Leu". It matches the Rfam family "tRNA". Rfam says of the family: Transfer RNA (tRNA) molecules are approximately 80 nucleotides in length. Their secondary structure includes four short double-helical elements and three loops (D, anti-codon, and T loops). Further hydrogen bonds mediate the characteristic L-shaped molecular structure. tRNAs have two regions of fundamental functional importance: the anti-codon, which is responsible for specific mRNA codon recognition, and the 3' end, to which the tRNAs corresponding amino acid is attached (by aminoacyl-tRNA synthetases). tRNAs cope with the degeneracy of the genetic code in two manners: having more than one tRNA (with a specific anti-codon) for a particular amino acid; and 'wobble' base-pairing, i.e. permitting non-standard base-pairing at the 3rd anti-codon position. RNAcentral also lists the same sequence under 2 other names. The record is from RNAcentral. Lineage: Bacteria; Pseudomonadati; Bacteroidota; Sphingobacteriia; Sphingobacteriales; Sphingobacteriaceae.